Molecule: non-coding RNA, 944 nt
Organism: Nothobranchius furzeri (turquoise killifish)
Lineage: Eukaryota; Metazoa; Chordata; Actinopteri; Cyprinodontiformes; Nothobranchiidae
Source: RefSeq, a predicted model, not a curated record
UUUGUUGAAUGAUUCUCUUCGGCUGCGGAAGCAGCGUGCACCACGGUGACGGCAGCGUCCUGCUGUAAAUAUCGCCUGAGGUGAAGGUAGCUGUGCUGGUGUUUGUAUUGAAACAUCUCCCAGAGGGUUCCUACCUGUAUUCCAGGUGCAACCAGAGAAAAUCUUGUGCAGAAAUGUUAUUGUUUGAGCAGAGUUUCAGCCCACAUAACCCACAGAGGACUCCUCCAACUGUUUAUGCAGAAGGGGCCCAAGGAUGUCUGUAAAGUUGUCUCCGGAAAAUAAGAGGACUGGCAAAACAAAAGUGAUGCAGGUCGACGUCUGAGAAUCUCAUCAGUCCAGCAAGUCAACUCAAAGGAGCUGUGAGGGAAAAUUAAGUUUCUGUCAUGUGCUGUUGAGGAGUGUGUCAGAAAAAGUCACUGGAAUUGCAGGAGAAGGAAACGAAAUCAAAAUGAUCAGGAAAAUGUUAUCUGCCAGUGAAUUCAUAACGAAACUUCAAUCAUCACACAUACGUUCAGGUGAUUUAUUUGUUUAUUUUCAAAUUAAGGCAAAUCUAUCCCCUGUUUGCCCUCCAGGAACACGUUCAUUCCCUCUGUUGUACAGAAAACCGACUUCAAUCACUUUUCAUGACAAUCCCAGCACAAAGCUGGCAGAGCUCAGAUUCUCACCACACUUAGGACUAAAACAGCGCAGGGGGAGAAGAAGAAUAGGAAUAUCAUCAUUUAGUCCUUAAUAUUGAGGGGGUGAGUAAAAAAAAAAAAGAAGAAACAAAAAAAUUCACAAUGUGCACACUUGGUUUUUAAAAUUUGUGACUGAUUCCCAACAGAAAUGUGAUGCAAUAAUUUGUGCACCCCUGACCAACAUGGAGAACGUUUGCAGGCUUAUCCUCAACAUGAAUGGCCUGAGAGAGCAAAACACAUUAACACACACACACACACACACACACA